This 1310-nucleotide long non-coding RNA is filed under the name Nicotiana benthamiana. RNAcentral's name for it is "long non-coding RNA (NBEN_LNC022489)". The record is from RNAcentral. Lineage: Eukaryota; Viridiplantae; Streptophyta; Magnoliopsida; Solanales; Solanaceae.
CGCUAACUAUACUGAAAACCCUGGCAACUAUCCCACCACAAUCACAAGCCCAGAUUUCCACUACCGUUAAUCUUUCCCCUCAACAUGCACCGGGCUUUAUCCCUUACCACAAUUACCCUAGAACUUCCUCCCAAACUUUCCAUGCCCCACCAGCCAAAACAACUGCAUUCCCCGCUCCAGAUGUCCACUAGUAUGCACCGGAACCCACAUUCAGAGUCCCAGAUACUUGCCUUACACUCCCCAAUUUGAGCCUCAUGUUGAAACUAACAAGCGAGAACACAGAGCAAGAAGAGAUUUUUAGGAAGGUACAGAAUCUGGAUCAAUCAUUGAGAAAUAUGCAAGGGCUAGGAAGCCAGGUGAGUAUGGCUUAUAAGGAUUUGUGUUUGUUCCCUGAUGUCCAAUUAUCUGUCGGGUUCAAGAUUCCCAAGUUUGACUUGUAUGAUGGACAUGGGGAUCCUGUUUCUCAUCUGAGAGGUUGUUGCAGUAAGAUGAGAGGUGCUGAGGGAAAAGAAGAAUUACUGAUGACGUAUUUCAGCAGAGUCUGAGUGGAGCAUCUCUAGAAUGGUACACCCGCCAGGACGCCAGCAGAUGGUACAUAUGGGACGAUUUGGCUAAAGCCUUUGCUCCACAUUUUUUGUACAACAUAGACAUUGUCCCGGAUCGCCUGUCUCUAACCAAGGUAGAAAAGAAGCCCAGUGAAAGCUUUAGAUAAUAUGGGUUCUGAUGGAGGGAGCAAGCUGCACGAGUCAAUCCUCCGAUGGAAGAAGACGAGAUGGUUAAAUACCUUCUUCAAGCCCUAGAGCCCACUUACUAUGGUCAUUUGAUCUUAGCCAUUGGCAAGCCUUUCAAUGAUGUGGUUUUUCUUUAAGACCUGGAGCCCACUUACUAUGGCCAUUUGAUCUUAGCCAUUGGAAAGCUUUUCAAUGAUGUGGUAAAGAUGGGAGAAUGGUUGAAGAGGGAUUGAAGUCAAGCAAGAUCAUGAGCUAUUCUACUUUGAAAGCCACAAAACAUGCAAUUAAGAACGAAACAGGAAGCUUGUCGGGUCAGAAGAAACAUGAUGAUUUGCCAUGGUUGUCUCAGGAUCAUGACAAGGCCCAGCGGGUCCACUUCACCAAUAUACUCAGCCUCGACCCCGAUCCCAACUCCAAACUUAUCCCCGAGCUCCACAUAAUCCACCUCAGUAUUAUCGUCUGAACAACGUCCAAUCAUUUGUUCAACCACUGGGUCACCCCAGAAGGCGAGCUCCAGCACCGCAAAAUCUCCACCAGCCUCCACAAAAUUUUCAAGUUCCCCAUAAUCCACAUCCAAGC